This 22-nucleotide non-coding RNA is filed under the name Arabidopsis thaliana (thale cress). The record is from RNAcentral. Lineage: Eukaryota; Viridiplantae; Streptophyta; Magnoliopsida; Brassicales; Brassicaceae.
GCUGCUUGAGUUGGAGCUUCUA